This 380-nucleotide ribosomal RNA is filed under the name uncultured eukaryote. RNAcentral describes it as "partial 18S ribosomal RNA". It matches the Rfam family "Eukaryotic small subunit ribosomal RNA", at positions 592 to 976 of the family's 1831-position model. The record is from RNAcentral.
CAAUAGCGUAUAUUAAAGUUGUUGCGGUUAAAAAGCUCGUAGUUGGAUUUCUGCUGAGAACGACCGGUCCGCCCUUUGGGUGUGUAUCUGGCUCUUUCUUGGCAUCUUCUUGGUGAACGUUGCUGCACUUGACUGUGUGGAGCGCUACCCAGGACUUUUACUUUGAGGAAAUUAGAGUGUUUCAAGCAGGCAUACGCCUUGAAUACAUUAGCAUGGAAUAAUAAGAUAGGACCUCGGUUCUAUUUUGUUGGUUUCUAGAGCUGAGGUAAUGAUUAAUAGGGAUAGUUGGGGGCAUUCGUAUUUAACUGUCAGAGGUGAAAUUCUUGGAUUUGUUAAAGACGGACUACUGCGAAANCANNNGCGAAGGAUGUUUNCAUNGA